GACGAACGCUGGCGGCGUGCUUAACACAUGCAAGUCGAACGGUAAGGCUCCAGCUUGCUGGGGUACACGAGUGGCGAACGGGUGAGUAACACGUGGGUGACCUGCCCUGCACUUCGGGAUAAGCCUGGGAAACUGGGUCUAAUACCGGAUAGGACCGCACCGUGAGGGUGUGGUGGAAAGUUUUUUCGGUGUGGGAUGGGCCCGCGGCCUAUCAGCUUGUUGGUGGGGUAAUGGCCUACCAAGGCGGCGACGGGUAGCCGGCCUGAGAGGGUGGACGGCCACAUUGGGACUGAGACACGGCCCAGACUCCUACGGGAGGCAGCAGUGGGGAAUAUUGCACAAUGGGCGGAAGCCUGAUGCAGCGACGCCGCGUGGGGGAUGACGGCCUUCGGGUUGUAAACUCCUUUCACCAUCGACGAAGGGUUUCUGACGGUAGAUGGAGAAGAAGCACCGGCUAACUACGUGCCAGCAGCCGCGGUAAUACGUAGGGUGCGAGCGUUGUCCGGAAUUACUGGGCGUAAAGAGCUCGUAGUGGUUUGUCGCGUCGUCUGUGAAAUUCCGGGGCUUAACUCCGGGCGUGCAGGCGAUACGGGCAUAACUUGAGUACUGUAGGGGAGACUGGAAUUCCUGGUGUAGCGGUGAAAUGCGCAGAUAUCAGGAGGAACACCGGUGGCGAAGGCGGGUCUCUGGGCAGUAACUGACGCUGAGGAGCGAAAGCAUGGGGAGCGAACAGGAUUAGAUACCCUGGUAGUCCAUGCCGUAAACGGUGGGCGCUAGGUGUGGGUUUCCUUCCACGGGAUCCGUGCCGUAGCUAACGCAUUAAGCGCCCCGCCUGGGGAGUACGGCCGCAAGGCUAAAACUCAAAGGAAUUGACGGGGGCCCGCACAAGCGGCGGAGCAUGUGGAUUAAUUCGAUGCAACGCGAAGAACCUUACCUGGGCUUGACAUAUACAGGAUCGCGCCAGAGAUGGUGUUUCCCUUGUGGCUUGUAUACAGGUGGUGCAUGGUUGUCGUCAGCUCGUGUCGUGAGAUGUUGGGUUAAGUCCCGCAACGAGCGCAACCCUUGUCUUAUGUUGCCAGCACGUUGUGGUGGGGACUCGUAAGAAACUGCCGGGGUUAACUCGGAGGAAGGUGGGGAUGACGUCAAAUCAUCAUGCCCCUUAUGUCCAGGGCUUCACACAUGCUACAAUGGUCGGUACAGUGGGUUGCCAGUCCGUGAGGGCGAGCUAAUCCCGCAAAGCCGGUCUCAGUUCGGAUCGGGGUCUGCAACUCGACCCCGUGAAGUCGGAGUCGCUAGUAAUCGCAGAUCAGCAACGCUGCGGUGAAUACGUUCCCGGGCCU
This 1340-nucleotide ribosomal RNA is filed under the name uncultured bacterium. Its description in RNAcentral is "16S ribosomal RNA". It matches the Rfam family "Bacterial small subunit ribosomal RNA", at positions 28 to 1381 of the family's 1533-position model. The record is from RNAcentral.